RNAcentral lists this ribosomal RNA (449 nucleotides) under uncultured bacterium. RNAcentral's name for it is "bacterial SSU rRNA". It matches the Rfam family "Bacterial small subunit ribosomal RNA", at positions 355 to 796 of the family's 1533-position model. The record is from RNAcentral.
UCGAGAAUCUUUCGCAAUGGGCGAAAGCCUGACGAAGCGACGCCGUGUGAGCGAUGAAGGCCCUAGGGUCGUAAAGCUCUUUCGCUUGGGAACAAGGGGAUCCGGCUAAUAUCCGGAGAACUUGAGGGUACCAGGUAAAGAAGCACCGGCUAACUCCGUGCCAGCAGCUGCGGUAAUACGGAGGGUGCAAGCAUUAAUCGGAAUUAUUGGGCGUAAAGGGCGCGUAGGCGGAGAGGAAAGUCAGAUGUGAAAUCCCGGGGCUCAACCCCGGAACAGCAUUUGAAACUUCCCUUCUAGAGGAUAGGCGGAGAAAAUGGAAUUCCACAAGUAGCGGUGAAAUGCGUAGAUAUGUGGAAGAACACCAGUGGCGAAGGCGGUUUUCUAGCUUAAACCUGACGCUGAGGCGCGAAAGCAAGGGGAUCAAACAGGAUUAGAUACCCCGGUAGUCC